RNAcentral lists this ribosomal RNA (223 nucleotides) under uncultured bacterium. RNAcentral's name for it is "partial 16S ribosomal RNA". It matches the Rfam family "Bacterial small subunit ribosomal RNA", at positions 524 to 745 of the family's 1533-position model. The record is from RNAcentral.
CACGUAGGGUGCGAGCGUUGUCCGGAAUUAUUGGGCGUAAAGAGCUCGUAGGCGGUGUGUCGCGUCGGCCGUGAAAACCUGCAGCUUAACUGUGGGCUUGCGGUCGAUACGGGCAUCACUGGAGUUCGGCAGGGGAGACUGGAAUUCCUGGUGUAGCGGUGAAAUGCGUAGAUAUCUGGAGGAACACCGGUGGCGAAGGCGGCAUCCUGGACCGACACUGACG